AUUGAACGCUGGCGGCAGGCCUAACACAUGCAAGUCGAGCGGACGAAGGGAGCUUGUUCCUGGAUUCAGCGGCGGGCGGGUGGGUGAUUCCUACGAAUCUGCCUGGUCGAGGGGGAUAACGUCCCGACACGGGCGCUAAUAUCGCAUACGUCCUGAGGUAGAAAGUGGGGGAUCUUUGGACCUCACGCUAUUAGAUGAGCCUAGGUCUGAUUAGCUAGUCGGUGGGGUAAAGGCCUACCAAGGCGACGUUCCGUAGCUGGUCUGAGUGGAUGAUCAGCCACACUGUAACUGAGACACGGUCCAGACUCCUACGGGAGGCAGCAGUGGGGAAUUUUCGACAAUGGGCGAAAGCCUGAUCCAGCCAUGCCGCGUGAGUGAUGAAGGUCUUCGGAUUGUAAAGCUCUUUAAUUAGGGAAGAACAGAUGUAUAUUUAUCUCUUCACGUUUUGACGGUACCUACUCAGAAAGCCCCGGCUAACUUCGUG
This 484-nucleotide ribosomal RNA is filed under the name uncultured bacterium. RNAcentral describes it as "partial 16S ribosomal RNA". It matches the Rfam family "Bacterial small subunit ribosomal RNA", at positions 30 to 507 of the family's 1533-position model. The record is from RNAcentral.